This is a non-coding RNA of Apaloderma vittatum (bar-tailed trogon), 59 nucleotides long. NCBI's taxonomy places the organism in Eukaryota, Metazoa, Chordata, Aves, Trogoniformes, Trogonidae. The record is from Rfam.
UAGCUCAGUCAGUUAGAGCGUGGUUCUGAUAACACCAAGGUCAUGGGUUCGAUCCCCGU